CUAUCAUAAAUUUUGACUAGAUAGAGAUUAUAAAAUUUUUUUUCAAAUCCCAUCAUCUGUCAUAUGUCAAAUUUAUUCAACUCAAAUUCAUGAUGUGAAAUACAGUAGAAACUCUUUUCUACUAUUCACACUAUCUGGGCUAAGAUUUUUGAACUCAGUCUCAUAAAUCAUAUAGAACUAAUUCUCUUAUCUUCCAAGGUCAAUAGAUUUCAGAUA
RNAcentral lists this long non-coding RNA (216 nucleotides) under Elaeis guineensis (African oil palm). Its description in RNAcentral is "long non-coding RNA (EGUI_LNC069302)". The record is from RNAcentral. Lineage: Eukaryota; Viridiplantae; Streptophyta; Magnoliopsida; Arecales; Arecaceae.